UACAGAGGUCUCAAGCGUUGUUCGGAUUCAUUGGGCGUAAAGGGUGCGUAGGCGGCGUGGUAAGUCGGAUGUGAAAUCUCGGAGCUUAACUCCGAAACUGCAUUCGAUACUGCCGUGCUUAAGGACUGGAGAGGAGACUGGAAUUUACGGUGUAGCGGUGAAAUGCGUAGAUAUCGUAAGGAAGACCAGUGGCGAAGGCGGGUCUCUGGACAGUUCCUGACGCUGAGGCACGAAGGCCAGGGGAGCAAACGGG
RNAcentral lists this ribosomal RNA (253 nucleotides) under uncultured bacterium. RNAcentral describes it as "partial 16S ribosomal RNA". It matches the Rfam family "Bacterial small subunit ribosomal RNA", at positions 524 to 776 of the family's 1533-position model. The record is from RNAcentral.